Molecule: ribosomal RNA, 376 nt
Filed under: uncultured bacterium
Lineage: Bacteria
Description: bacterial SSU rRNA
Rfam family: Bacterial small subunit ribosomal RNA
Source: RNAcentral
UAAUACGUAGGGGGCAAGCGUUGUCCGGAAUUAUUGGGCGUAAAGCGCGCGCAGGCGGUUCCUUAAGUCUGAUGUGAAAGCCCACGGCUCAACCGUGGAGGGUCAUUGGAAACUGGGGAACUUGAGGACAGAAGAGGAGAGUGGAAUUCCACGUGUAGCGGUGAAAUGCGUAGAUAUGUGGAGGAACACCAGUGGCGAAGGCGACUCUCUGGUCUGUUUCUGACGCUGAGGUGCGAAAGCGUGGGUAGCAAACAGGAUUAGAUACCCUGGUAGUCCACGCCGUAAACGAUGAGUGCUAGGUGUUAGGGGGCUUCCACCCCUUAGUGCUGAAGUUAACGCAUUAAGCACUCCGCCUGGGGAGUACGGCCGCAAGGCU